UGGGAUUGGGAUCCUUUGGUGUGGAUGUUGGAGUUGCGAGUUCCUUGGGGUGCCUGAGGGGUAGAGGAUGAGGAUUUGGGACUCUGAGUGGGAUUUAGGUUGGGUUGGGGAUGGCUUGAGGUGAACUGGGAUAACAUGAGAGUUUGGGACCUGUGGGGUGGGAGUAGGAUUUGGGGGUGUCUGGGGUGCUCGAGGGGUGUAUGGGGGGACUUGUCAGUCCUGAUUGAGGGGGGCUGUGUGUGUGUUUGGUUUCAGGGCGUCUGGUUUUAUUGAAGAGUGUGGGAAAGGGGUUCUUUUGGGAAUUUUUGGAUGCUUAACAUGGGGGAGAAGAGGUGGGAGUGCUGUGAGUGGAGCAGGAUGGAUGUGGGAAGGGUCCUUAGUUGUAUGGACUGGUGAGGGUACAGGGGUGAGCUGGUGGGCUUUGGGAGGCUUCAGCUGGGUGGGGUGGGUGCAUUUUUGGGAACAGGUAUAAAGUGUCUGGUGUUCCUGACAGAUUAAGGUGAGGCAAAGUUUCAGAGCCUCACAGAGUUGUUAUGGUGUGGUUUGGAGGCCUGUCCAUUGGGACAGUGGGAUUGAUGGAAUGCUGGGGUUUGAGGUUUGUGUAACAUGCUUCAUUCCUGAUAAUUCACAGGAGUUUGUGUAGACAGGAGAUUUGUGAUGGUAAAGGUUUUCUACAUGCUUCCCUUUAGGGAUAAAGAUAAAGCCUGGAGGAUUUAUAGGAGCCUGUAAGCUCUGGAUAUGCACAAAUCCUGUUUUAAAAUUUGAGAUAACACCGUGGUUUCAGACUGCUUUAAUUCACUGCUCAGUCUGGAGAGUGGCUCUUGUUGCUGGGGGUCUGUGAUGUAGCUGGUCAGCACUGCUGGGGGCGUGGAGGGGGAGAAGUUGGGAUGGAGCACGUGGAUACAACUCCUGCAAUCUUAGAAGAUGAGAAUUUAACAGUGGUUUGGAUUUGCUUGUUUAUAUAUGUGAGAAGAGGGUAAAAUCCACCUUGUGAUCCCACAGAGAUGUAGUAACUCUCCCUCAUGAACCACAUCCCAGCUGUUUUCUUUUCUUUGGACUGAAGCCAACCCUUGAGCUGCAGCUCUGUUAAAGGUUUUGUGUUUGAUUGAGUCAAGCUGAAUCUCUCUUGUAGUCCAGCAUCCCACCUGUAGCUGUCCAUGACUCUGGAGAUUGCCUACCUGAGGAAAGAUGCUUUAGUGCGUUAGUUAUGGUCAUGUGUGAAGCUGUCACAUGUCCAAAAAACUUCACAGACUGCUUCAGGACCAUGGUAACAUCCACUAAAGCUUUCUGCUCUCCAUUCAGGAGGAAGGUCAGGACUGGAAAAAAUAGUUGGAUGUUGUUGUGUUUGAGGCUUGGAUACAGAAAGAAAGGAAAUGUGGCUCUGAACAGGGAGGGAAGUCAAAUACUUGAGAGAAAUCCUGGUUAACAAGAUAUGUCUCGUUAGUGUUGUGCUGUUCCUGGAAGGAAACUUUCUUCUUUUGAUGGUUAGAUAGAAUAAUUUCUGAAAGAGGUGUGUUUUAACAUCAUUCCCCUCAUGAACUAUGCACUGGUUUCCAUUUGCUCUCUUUUGAGUAGAUUGUUUCCUAAGUGCAGGCAGUCAAGCAGGAGUUUAUGGAGCAUGUGGGGAAGUGUGGGCCUGGUGAGUUGGGUUUAAUCUCCUUACCCAGAGGAGUUGUGUAACAGUGUAGUAAAGUGCAAGGGGUCUGAUUAAGGCUGCCUUGAUAAUCCCCAGGCAGACACUGGAGAGAGUUGUCUGCUGCUUAGGAGGUGAGGGAGGGAGGAAUUGUGCUUCAGGUAACCUAGACACCUACUAUGGAAAUACACCAAAGAACUGUUUGUUCUAAUGGUGGUAAAUGUGUGCUGUUUGAGUCCUGCACUAAACAGUUUUAUUUUAAAGUGUUGUUGGGUGUACAGAUGGUUUAAAUAGUGAAAAAUCAACUUUCUUUGCUUCAGUCAGAAAUUACAACUUGUUCUCCUGAAACAAUUGGUCAAAAUACAUCUCAGUGUUCUGGCUGCUUUGUACCAGUGAAAUCUCAGUGGUCUGAUGUUGGUGUGAUGUUAUUCAUUGUGAGUACAGCAGGAUUUGAUAUCUACCCAGUCCAGGGACACGAGUACUUUGCCCACGUUCGGGACCCAAGGUCAAAGACCUGCCACGUACAGGUGGUUGCAGAUCUUUGUGCUCCUGACCCUGAGCAAACAGAAGGAGCCUGGAGGAGGAAAGGGCAGUAGAUGUGGAACAGGAGCAGCAUCCAGUCACUGGGUCACAGACAGGCACACCUUGACCAGUUUGUGACAGUUUGUCACGGGUGACGUGGCAAAAGUGGCUUGCAAGUAGUUAAAACUGCCAGGGAGGGGACACUGGUGACUGUCACAAACUCAGAGCACUCUGUGCAAGGAACAAGAGGCUUGUGACAAAGGAGGAGGAGAACCCAAAGCCUCCUUGGAGGGUGCUUUGUCCCAGGAAGGGGUAUGGAUUCAUUUCUGCAGUGAAGUCUGGCUGUUAAUUUGGAAUUGGCCUGGUGAGGACCCACAGCAGAUAUUUCUCAGGAGAUCAGAGGAUCCCUCUGAUGGGCAGCUGAUACUCAGGGACAGCCUCGUGCCCUGCACCAGGGAGAUAUUAUGUGAGCUGCUGUGUUAGUCCUCUGGAUCCUCAUGGUAUGUCUGAAGGACAGAUCUCUGCAUGUUCUGAAUGUACCAGGUUGUCCUCAUGAAUACUCCAGUGGAGGAUGUCCCUGAUCUUCUUUGCCUGCGUGGUGAGGGUGAGGGACGGGCUUCCCCUCUCGGCCUCCACGGAUUUUCAUUUCAACCAGGAUUUUCUGGAAUGCAGGAAGAGAUUAAAGGCUUUGUCCUCAGGCCUGGCACGGUACCCAAGUCGAGGCACAGCAAAGGGACGUGACCUCAGCAUCCAGUAAGUCCCUGGUUGAUUUAUUCUUUUUUUUUUUGGGGGGGCUUUUGUUUUUGAAAGAAUUAUCUUGGGAAUUAGGAGAAUUUUGGGUAUGGUCUCUAGGGCCUGAGUCCAGUCUGAAACCCCACUGUGCCUGUCUGGGUUGUCAGCUCCAGG
Molecule: long non-coding RNA, 3061 nt
Organism: Corapipo altera (White-ruffed manakin)
Lineage: Eukaryota; Metazoa; Chordata; Aves; Passeriformes; Pipridae
Exons: 3
Source: RefSeq, a predicted model, not a curated record